UCUUUUCGUAGAGAUCGACCAAAAGAUGGCAGCCAGCUGUGUUUGUCCUCAAGGUACCAUGUUGGGAAGGUAAAGAGAACUGGGAGCUCCAGGAUGUGGGCUCUCCAGUCUGCAGAUUCUAAGGUAAUGCCUUCUCUCUCCAGCAUCCCUAUGGGGAAUCAAGGACACAAUGCAUGUUGAGCACUUGCUAGUAUGUGCUGCUUACAAAGAGAAGCCUGAAGGAUACAGGACCCCAAUGGGACCCAGGCCCCCAGGACCAGCCUUGCAAACACAACAAUCAGAGUGGCCCCAGGCCACAGAAACCGACAUCCAAACUGGAAGUCUGUGGAGUCUGCAGGUCUGGAAAAACUGGAGGGCGACAACCAGGAAGCCAGCCCGUGACUGGACUCUCUUCUGGCCAUAUAUAGAACUAACAAUGUACGCCCUGGAAUCUUGGGAUUGGAGGAAAUCACAUGGGCCACUGAGUCCUCUCACCAGGCUUUGCCUCUAG
RNAcentral lists this long non-coding RNA (490 nucleotides) under Sus scrofa (pig). RNAcentral describes it as "lncRNA (ENSSSCG00070015812.1)". The record is from RNAcentral. Lineage: Eukaryota; Metazoa; Chordata; Mammalia; Artiodactyla; Suidae.